CCAUAUUAAAUAGAAAAUUGUAAAGGUGAAAUGUUUGGAAAAAAUUUACUAUCAAAGGUAGGAACAGCAAAUCAAAUUACACAAAUUGCAAAAUCUACAUCCCAAAAAUAAUAAAAUACAGAUGAUUAGUAAUAUUAGGCACAUCCUUAAAAUCACUCAAAUAUAUAGAGGUAGUAAAGUAUCAUGAUGCCAUUGCUGAGACUUUUCUGCAGUCCUGGACUAUUAUAG
RNAcentral lists this long non-coding RNA (228 nucleotides) under Panax ginseng (ginseng). Its description in RNAcentral is "long non-coding RNA (PGIN_LNC003627)". The record is from RNAcentral. Lineage: Eukaryota; Viridiplantae; Streptophyta; Magnoliopsida; Apiales; Araliaceae.